RNAcentral lists this ribosomal RNA (209 nucleotides) under uncultured bacterium. Its description in RNAcentral is "partial 16S ribosomal RNA". It matches the Rfam family "Bacterial small subunit ribosomal RNA", at positions 524 to 733 of the family's 1533-position model. The record is from RNAcentral.
UACAGAGGGUGCGAGCGUUAAUCGGAAUUACUGGGCGUAAAGGGCGCGUAGGCUGUGCUGUAAGUCAGGCGUGAAAGCCCCGGGCUCAACCUGGGAAUUGCGCUUGAUACUGCGGCGCUGGAAGGUGGGAGAGGAUGGCGGAAUUCCCAGUGUAGAGGUGAAAUUCGUAGAUAUUGGGAAGAACACCGGUGGCGAAGGCGGCAUCUGGC